Molecule: ribosomal RNA, 631 nt
Filed under: Bradyrhizobium sp.
Lineage: Bacteria; Pseudomonadati; Pseudomonadota; Alphaproteobacteria; Hyphomicrobiales; Nitrobacteraceae
Description: bacterial SSU rRNA
Rfam family: Bacterial small subunit ribosomal RNA
Source: RNAcentral
CAAUACGUCAGCGGCAGACGGGUGAGUAACGCGUGGGAACGUACCUUUUGGUUCGGAACAACACAGGGAAACUUGUGCUAAUACCGGAUAAGCCCUUACGGGGAAAGAUUUAUCGCCGAAAGAUCGGCCCGCGUCUGAUUAGCUAGUUGGUGAGGUAACGGCUCACCAAGGCGACGAUCAGUAGCUGGUCUGAGAGGAUGAUCAGCCACAUUGGGACUGAGACACGGCCCAAACUCCUACGGGAGGCAGCAGUGGGGAAUAUUGGACAAUGGGCGCAAGCCUGAUCCAGCCAUGCCGCGUGAGUGAUGAAGGCCCUAGGGUUGUAAAGCUCUUUUGUGCGGGAAGAUAAUGACGGUACCGCAAGAAUAAGCCCCGGCUAACUUCGUGCCAGCAGCCGCGGUAAUACGAAGGGGGCUAGCGUUGCUCGGAAUCACUGGGCGUAAAGGGUGCGUAGGCGGGUCUUUAAGUCAGGGGUGAAAUCCUGGAGCUCAACUCCAGAACUGCCUUUGAUACUGAGGAUCUUGAGUUCGGGAGAGGUGAGUGGAACUGCGAGUGUAGAGGUGAAAUUCGUAGAUAUUCGCAAGAACACCAGUGGCGAAGGCGGCUCACUGGCCCGAUACUGACGCUGAGC